Non-coding RNA from Maylandia zebra (zebra mbuna), 369 nucleotides. The record is from RefSeq and is a predicted model, not a curated record. Lineage: Eukaryota; Metazoa; Chordata; Actinopteri; Cichliformes; Cichlidae.
CCCAUUGGCUACAUCAUUCUGUCAGUCAUCUGUGCGCUCCUACUCCUCUGCAUUCCCUGUUUCAUCUUCUGGAAGGUAUCCUCAGUCACCGUGACGACCACGCUGAAGUCGCCUCAGCUAGUUUUCGUCUUUGUUUUGUGUUCACAUGUAAAAUGUGUGUGUGUGCAGCUUGGUUUCUUCAGGCGAACUCUCCCCAAAGAUGAAGACGAUGAUGAGGAUGAGCAGUGUUUGUCUGAAGGUCUUAUGACUGAAUAACACCGAGUGUCACAUGAUCACUGAUGAAGCGGGAGGUGCUCUAAUUAUUGAUCGACAUCUUUAUAAAUGUCUGCACUGCAACAUGUUUAUCAAUAAAGUUCACUUUCAGUAAAA